CCUACGGGAGGCAGCAGUGAGGAAUAUUGGUCAAUGGACGAGAGUCUGAACCAGCCAAGUAGCGUGAAGGAUGACUGCCCUAUGGGUUGUAAACUUCUUUUAUAUGGGAAUAAAACGUUCCACGUGUGGGAUUUUGUAUGUACCAUAUGAAUAAGGAUCGGCUAACUCCGUGCCAGCAGCCGCGGUAAUACGGAGGAUCCGAGCGUUAUCCGGAUUUAUUGGGUUUACAGGGAGCGUAGGUGGAUUGUUAAGUCAGUUGUGAAAGUUUGCGGCUCAACCGUAAAAUUGCAGUUGAAACUGGCAGUCUUGAGUACAGUAGAGGUGGGCGGAAGUCGUGGUGUAGCGGUGAAAUGCUUAGAUAUCACGAAGAACUCCGAUUGCGAAGGCAGUUCACUGGACUGCAACUGACACUGAGGCUCGAAAGUGUGGGUAUCAAACAGGAUUAGAUACCCCAGUAGUC
Molecule: ribosomal RNA, 460 nt
Filed under: uncultured bacterium
Lineage: Bacteria
Description: partial 16S ribosomal RNA
Rfam family: Bacterial small subunit ribosomal RNA
Source: RNAcentral